CCCUUAGAUGUUCUGGGCCGCACGCGCGCUACACUGACGAAUGCAACGAGCUUAUAACCUUGGCCGAAAGGUCUGGGUAAUCUCCAAAUUUCGUCGUGAUGGGGAUAGAUUAUUGCAAUUAUUAAUCUUCAACGAGGAAUGCCUAGUAAGCGCAAGUCAUCAGCUUGCGUUGAUUACGUCCCUGCCCUUUGUACACACCGCCCGUCGCUCCUACCGAUUGAAUGGUCCGGUGAAGCGUUCGGACCGUGGCCUUUGGCCGGUUCGCCGUCUGUUGGCUGCGGGAAGUUCGUUAAACCUUAUCAUUUAGAGGAAGGAGAAGUCGUAACA
This 327-nucleotide ribosomal RNA is filed under the name uncultured eukaryote. RNAcentral describes it as "partial 18S ribosomal RNA". It matches the Rfam family "Eukaryotic small subunit ribosomal RNA", at positions 1470 to 1796 of the family's 1831-position model. The record is from RNAcentral.